AAGGAGUCGAGCAGUGGUGCGAGUCUACGGGCUUCAAGCCCCGAGGCGCAGUGAAAGCGACAGGGUGGAACUUCGGUGCACACCCGGCCGGGCCCGAUGCUUGCGGAAGGUUCUGAGCAAGAGCAUCACUGUUCGGACCCGAAAGAUGGCGAACUAUGGCUGAGCAGGGUGAAGGCAUCGGAAACGGUGCUGGAGGCCCGAAGAGGUUCUGACGUGCAAAUCGAUCUUCAAACCUGGCCAUGGGGGCGAAAGACUAAUCGAGCCAUCUAGUAGCUGGUUCCUGC
RNAcentral lists this unclassified non-coding RNA (284 nucleotides) under uncultured fungus. Its description in RNAcentral is "partial contains 5.8S rRNA, ITS2 and 28S rRNA". It matches the Rfam family "Eukaryotic large subunit ribosomal RNA", at positions 668 to 961 of the family's 3401-position model. Lineage: Eukaryota; Fungi. The record is from RNAcentral.